Molecule: ribosomal RNA, 219 nt
Filed under: uncultured bacterium
Lineage: Bacteria
Description: partial 16S ribosomal RNA
Rfam family: Bacterial small subunit ribosomal RNA
Source: RNAcentral
CGUGAGCAACCUGUCCCAAAGACCGGGAUAAGCGCGGGAAACUGCGUCUAAUACCGGAUGCCCUCUUCGUGUCACAUGGCGUGAUGAGGAAAUGUUUUAUCGCUUUGGGAGGGGCUCGCGGCCUAUCAGCUUGUUGGUGGGGUAAUGGCCUACCAAGGCAUCGACGGGUAGCUGGUCUGAGAGGAUGAUCAGCCACACUGGGACUGAGACACGGCCCAG